GACGAACGCUGGCGGCGUGCUUAACACAUGCAAGUCGAACGGAAAGGCCCUGCUUGCAGGGUGCUCGAGUGGCGAACGGGUGAGUAACACGUGGGUGAUCUGCCCCUUACUUUGGGAUAAGCCUGGGAAACUGGGUCUAAUACUGGAUAGGACCAUGCUGUAGGUGGUGUGGUGGAAAGAUUAGUUUCGGUAAGGGAUGAGCUCGCGGCCUAUCAGCUUGUUGGUGGGGUAAUGGCCUACCAAGGCGUCGACGGGUAGCCGGCCUGAGAGGGUGGACGGCCACAUUGGGACUGAGAUACGGCCCAGACUCCUACGGGAGGCAGCAGUGGGGAAUAUUGCACAAUGGGCGCAAGCCUGAUGCAGCGACGCUGCGUGGGGGAUGACGGCCUUCGGGUUGUAAACUCCUUUCAGCCAUGGCGAAGCCCUUGUGGUGACGGUAGUGGUAGAAGAAGCACCGGCUAACUACGU
This 468-nucleotide ribosomal RNA is filed under the name uncultured bacterium. RNAcentral describes it as "partial 16S ribosomal RNA". It matches the Rfam family "Bacterial small subunit ribosomal RNA", at positions 28 to 506 of the family's 1533-position model. The record is from RNAcentral.